Molecule: long non-coding RNA, 4975 nt
Filed under: Brassica rapa (field mustard)
Lineage: Eukaryota; Viridiplantae; Streptophyta; Magnoliopsida; Brassicales; Brassicaceae
Description: long non-coding RNA (BRAP_LNC005579)
Source: RNAcentral
CCCAAGCAACAGACAUGUCUCCACGGCCCAGAGUUCAAAACACGCGCGUCACAACGGCUCUGCGAAAAUAAUGAAGACAAGAAGCAGAAAAGCAAAGUACAAGGACAGACCAUGACGAUAGCAAAGACUGAAGAGCAUAAUGGAUUGAAGCUGUCAAAUCGUUUUGCAGCCCUUGAUCUGUAGAAGCUUUCUGAUCUUGCCAUCUGUCUUUAUGACCUAGGGUUUUAGCUUCUUGUAUAAAUAAGUAACUCUUGUAACGAUCUUAUCAAAAAGAGAUGAAUGAAGUUCAGUAAAGCUCAAGCUUCCUUCUUUUCAUUUCAAAACCAAAUCUGAAAUCUUUACAUGGUAUCAGAGCUCCAUGGAAGAUAGAUCUAUGGAACCUUAUACCCCUCCUGCUCUUAAACUCACCAACGCUGUUACCGUCAAGCUCACGGAGAAGAAUUACAUUCUUUGGAAGCGGCAGUUUGAAGCUUUUCUCAACGGUCAGAGGUUACUUGGUUUUGUCACCGGAUCUACACCUCAACCAGCUGCAACAAUACCAGCACCCACGAUAAAUGGUACAACCACGCCAGCUCCGAACCCUGACUAUGCGCUUUGGUUUCAAACUGACCAAGCCAUACAGUCUUGGCUUCUGGGCUCUUUUUCCGAGGAUGUUCAAAGUUCCGUGAUUCACUGCACCAACUCAUAUGAGAUCUGGAUGACGCUGGCCAGUCACUUCAACCGUCCAACAUCAGCUAGACUCUUUGAGCUUCAGAGGAAACUUCAAACAACUGCCAAGCAAGAUAAAUCGAUGGAUGACUAUCUUCGUGACAUCAAAACUAUCUGUGACCAACUCACGUCGAUAGGGCAACCUGUAGACGAAAGGAUGAAGAUCUUUGCAGCACUGUUAGGCCUUGGAAAGGAGUAUGAGCCUAUCAAAACGAGUAUCGAAGGUUCUAUGGAUACACAGUAUCACCCUUCCUUUGAAGAUGUCGUGCCACGUCUGGUUGCGUUUGAAGAUAGACUUAAGAGCUACACUACAGACACGGCAGUAUCACCACAUCUCGCCUUCAACACGGUUCGAGGAAGACCCUUCUUCACCAGAAACAGAGGUCGAAACAGAGGAGGACGCAGCUUCUUCUCUACAAGAGGAAGAGGCUUUCCACAGCAUCUCUCAUCUUCAUCCUCCUCAAGGAGCUCUGUGUCAGCUGAUUCAGAAGCUCGUCCAGUUUGUCAAAUUUGCGGAAAGUCAGGUCAUGAGGCCAUGAGGUGCUGGCACAGGUUUGAUAACAGUUAUCAGCUUGAUGAGAUGCACAACGCGCUCGCGGCUAUGAGAGUUUCUGAUAUGAUUGACUCCCGUGGAGGAGAGUGGUUUCCUGAUACAGGAGCGUCAGCACACAUCACCAACACUCCUCAUCAUCUUCAAAAUGCUCAGCCUUACAUGGGUUCAGACUCAGUGAUGGUUGGAAAUGGUGAGUACCUUCCAAUCACUCAUACCGGAGCUGCAAGCAUUGCUUCCUCGUCAGGUAACCUUAUACUGAAUGAUGUUUUAGUUUGCCCUCAAAUAGCUAAACCAUUACUUUCAGUAUCUAAGUUUACAACGGAUUAUCCUUGCGGUUUUGAUUUUGAUGCUGAUAAUGUCUGCAUAUAUGAUAAGGCCACCAAGAAGGUUCUGUUACAGGGAAGAAACACUAAGGGCCUGUAUUCAAUAAAGGAACCAGCCUUUCAUGCCUUCUUCAGUACAAGACAGGUUGCUGCUAGUGAUGAGGUCUGGCAUCAAAGGUUGGGGCAUCCUAAUCCGCAUAUCCUUCAGCGUCUAGCGUCUAUCAAGUCUGUUUUCAUCAAUAAAAGAUCCAAGUCUCUCUGUGUGUCUUGUCAAAUGGCUAAGAGUUCAAGGCUGCCGUUCUCAGCGUCUCAGUUUGUAGCUACACGGCCGCUUGAGAGGAUACACUGCGACGUCUGGGGUCCAUCACCUGUAGUGUCAGUCCAAGAAUUUAAAUACUAUGUUGUUCUUAUUGAUAACUAUUCUCGGUAUUGUUGGAUGUACCCUAUGAAGAAGAAGUCUGAUUUUCAUUCAAUAUUCAUAGCAUUUCAAUCGCUUGUGCAAAAUCAGUUUCACACCACCAUUGGAACUUUUCAAUGUGAUGGUGGUGGGGAAUUCAUAAGCAACCAGUUCCUUCUCCACUUACAAAAGAAUGGAAUUCAACAACUCCUCUCUUGCCCACACACCCCUCAACAGAAUGGUUUGGCAGAGCGUAGACACAGACACAUAGUUGAGCUUGGUCUUUCCCUUCUGUUCCAGAGUAGAGCGCCUCAAAAGUAUUGGGUUGAAGCGUUUAUGACUGCGAACUUCCUCAGCAAUUUGCUCCCUCAUUCUGCGAACACCAACACUGCAAGUCCAUAUGAGAAGCUACAUAACAAAAGUCCGUCAUAUGAUGCUUUGAGGAUCUUUGGCUGUGCCUGCUUCCCGAUGUUGCGACCUUACACUCAAAAUAAACUAGAUCCUCGGUCACUGCAGUGUGUAUUCCUUGGCUACAGUGAGAAAUAUAAAGGAUACCGAUGCUUGCUCCCAGCUACAGGAAGAGUAUACAUCAGCAGGCAUGUUAUCUUUGAUGAAUCAAAGUUUCCCUUUGCUGAUGUGUAUGGUCAUUUACAUCCACCGGCUCUGACGCCACUGAUGGAGGCCUGGCUACAGAGCAACAGGAGUGCUGUCUCUCAGUCUCAGUCAACGCAAGGAAGACAAGAGACGAUGCAACCUAGGUUGUGUGUCAUCAAACCUCAACACUUUGUCGCACCAAACAGUUCAAGUACCGGAAGUUGUUCUGUGAUCAGUUCUAGUGAAACCAUGAGCACGUCUCUACCUAUCACAGAUGGAACUUCUCAGAGACUGAUAGAUCGUGAGAGUAAUUCACCACAAGUAGAGCACAACGAGACUGCAUUGCCAAGAGCAAAUAUGCCCGUCAACAAUCAUCAGAUGACAACAAGGCUCAAAGCAGGGAUCACAAAACCGAAUCCAAGAUAUGCACUGCUUACACAAAAGGUAUUGUGUCCGAGACCAAGGACAGUGGCUGAAGCAUUGAAGCAUCCGGGCUGGAACAACUCAAUGAAAGAAGAGAUAGGGAACUGUGAGUUGACAAAGACUUGGUCUCUGGUUCCAUAUACACCAGACAUGCAUGUCAUUGGAAAUGGUUGGGUUUUCAGAGAAAAACUAAACGCAGAUGGGACAGUGAAGUCGCUGAGAUCAAGACUGGUUGCUCAAGGUUGCAGUCAAGAAGAAGGGAUUGACUAUCUAGAGACCUACAGUCCAGUGGUUAGAACUGCAACCGUCAGGAUUGUUCUUCAUAUUGCUACGGUUCUUCAGUGGGAUAUUAAGCAAAUGGAUGUAGCCAAUGCGUUCCUUCAUGGUGAUCUUCAUGAGACAGUCUACAUGAGUCAGCCUAAGGGGUUUGUUGAUGAGAGUAAGCCGGAUCAUGUGUGUCUGCUACACAAGUCUCUCUACGGUUUGAAACAGUCUCCACGGGCAUGGUUUGAUAAAUUUAGCACCUAUCUGAUUGAGUUUGGUUUUGUGUGCAGCAUCAAAGAUCCUUCUUUAUUCAUCUACCGAAGAGGAAAAGAUAUUAUCAUGCUCUUAUUAUAUGUAGAUGACAUGUUAAUUACAGGGAACAGCUCAACGGUUCUAGCUAAGUUGCUUGAUGAGCUAAACAAGCAAUUCCGCAUGAAGGAUCUUGGGAGGAUGCACUACUUUCUUGGCAUUCAAGCAACCUUUCACUCCUCAGGAAUGUUCCUCUCACAAGAACGGUACGCAAAAGACCUUCUUGCUACUGCUGGAAUGUCGGAGUGUACCACUGUGGCUACACCUUUGCCACUGCAGUUGAGCAAAGUCCCACACCAAGACAAGAAGUUUGAAGAUCCAACUUAUUUCAGAAGUCUAGCCGGGAAGUUGCAGUAUUUGACUCUGACAAGGCCGGAUCUUCAGUAUUCUGUAAACUACGUUUGCCAAAAGAUGCAUGAGCCAACAGUCUCUGACUUUAUGCUGUUGAAGAGGAUCCUCCGUUAUGUUCAAGGCACGUUAGAUUAUGGCGUCAACAUCUUCAAAGACACCGACUUCACUUUGCGUGCGUAUAGUGACAGCGACUGGGCUGGAUGCCACAACACCAGACGAUCAACGGGAGGAUUCUGCACUUAUCUUGGUUUGAACAUUAUCUCUUGGUCCUCAAAGAAGCAGCCAACGGUUUCCAGAAGCUCGACAGAGGCUGAGUACCGGUCCCUAUCAGAAACGGCUUCAGAGCUUAGCUGGAUGUGCUCUAUUCUACGUGAGAUAGGAGUUCCGAUACAGACCACACCAGAGCUGUACUGUGACAACUUAUCAGCGGUUUAUCUCACAGCCAAUCCAGCAUAUCACAAACGUUCUAAGCAUUUUGAGUUGGACUAUCAUUACGUGCGUGAGAGGGUUGCUCUUGGAGCCCUUUUAGUGAAGCACAUCCCAGCUCAUCUUCAGCUUGCUGACAUCUUUACUAAGCCUUUGACGUUUAAAGCUUUUGAUUCACUGAGAUACAAACUUGGUGUAGACUCAUCUCCUACCCCAAGUUUGAGAGGGGCUGUUGAAGACAGAGCAUCAAACGUCAUCGUUUUGAAGACUGGUAAUGAGGAUAGAGAGAAGAUGGGCCACGGACAACAUAAGCCCAAGCAACAGACAUGUCUCCACGGCCCAGAGUUCAAAACACGCGCGUCACAACGGCUCUGCGAAAAUAAUGAAGACAAGAAGCAGAAAAGCAAAGUACAAGGACAGACCAUGACGAUAGCAAAGACUGAAGAGCAUAAUGGAUUGAAGCUGUCAAAUCGUUUUGCAGCCCUUGAUCUGUAGAAGCUUUCUGAUCUUGCCAUCUGUCUUUAUGACCUAGGGUUUUAGCUUCUUGUAUAAAUAAGUAACUCUUGUAACGAUCUUAUCAAAAAGAGAUGAAUGAAGUUCAGUAAAGCUCAAGCUUCCUUCUUUUCA